Molecule: ribosomal RNA, 463 nt
Filed under: uncultured bacterium
Lineage: Bacteria
Description: partial 16S ribosomal RNA
Rfam family: Bacterial small subunit ribosomal RNA
Source: RNAcentral
CUACGGGGUGCACCAGUGAGGAAUUUUGCGCAAUGGGGGAAACCCUGACGCAGCAACGCCGCGUGAGCGAAGAAGGCCUUCGGGUCGUAAAGCUCUGUCAAGUGGGAAAAAAAUUCUUUGAUGAACAGUCAAAGGACUUGAUGGUACCACUGGAGGUAGCACCGGCUAACUCCGUGCCAGCAGCCGCGGUAAUACGGAGGGUGCAAGCGUGUUCGGAAUUACUGGGCGUAAAGAGCGUGUAGGCGGUUUGACAAGUCAGAUGUGAAAGCCCCGGGCUCAACCCGGGAAGUGCAUUUGAAACUGUUUCACUAGAGUAUGGGAGAGGAGAUUGGAAUUCCUGGUGUAGAGGUGAGAUGCGUAGAUAUCAGGAGGAGCACCCGUGGCGAAGGCGAUUCUCUGGACCAAUACUGACGCUGAGACGCGAAAGCGUGGGGAGCAAACAGGAUUAGAUACCCGAGUAGUC